UCCUGACAGUUUUUAACUGACACCCCACGACAGGAGAUUGACAUG
Molecule: non-coding RNA, 45 nt
Filed under: unclassified sequences
Source: RNAcentral